GUGAGGAAUAUUGCGCAAUGGAGGCAACUCUGACGCAGCCAUGCCGCGUGCAGGAAGAAGGCGCUACGCGUUGUAAACUGCUUUUAACCGGGAAGAAACCCCAGGACGUGUCCUGGGUUGACGGUACCGGGGGAAUAAGCACCGGCUAACUUCGUGCCAGCAGCCGCGGUAAUACGAAGGGUGCAAGCGUUAUCCGGAUUCAUUGGGUUUAAAGGGUGCGUAGGCGGAGCGUUAAGUCAGUGGUGAAAUCCUGCAGCUUAACUGUAGACUUGCAAUUGAUACUGGCGCUCUUGAGUGCGCUUGAAGUGGGCGGAAUGUGCCGUGUAGCGGUGAAAUGCUUAGAUAUGGCACAGAACACCAAUUGCGAAGGCAGCUCACUAAGGCGAUACUGACGCUGAGGCACGAAAGCGUGGGGAUCGAACAGGAUUAGAAACCCUGGUAGUCC
RNAcentral lists this ribosomal RNA (445 nucleotides) under uncultured bacterium. Its description in RNAcentral is "partial 16S ribosomal RNA". It matches the Rfam family "Bacterial small subunit ribosomal RNA", at positions 354 to 796 of the family's 1533-position model. The record is from RNAcentral.